Long non-coding RNA from Oncorhynchus keta (chum salmon), 249 nucleotides. RefSeq lists it as uncharacterized. The record is from RefSeq and is a predicted model, not a curated record. The transcript is spliced from 3 exons. Lineage: Eukaryota; Metazoa; Chordata; Actinopteri; Salmoniformes; Salmonidae.
ACCCGCUCUGCUUCGCCCUGCAGCUGGCUCCCCUGGGCAGCCUCAACAUUGUGCUGGAGGACAGACAUAAAGGCUCCAGGUACAUGCCUCUGGGUCACAUGCUCACCUUCAAGGCAGCCUAUCAGAUUGCAGCAGGGCUGGCCUACCUGCACAGGAAGAACAUCAUCUUCUGUGACCUCAAGUCAGACAACAUCCUGGUGUGGUCCCUGGAGGUGUGUGACCCGGUGAAUAUCAAGCUGUCAGACUACG